Molecule: unclassified non-coding RNA, 2600 nt
Filed under: Hevea brasiliensis (rubber tree)
Lineage: Eukaryota; Viridiplantae; Streptophyta; Magnoliopsida; Malpighiales; Euphorbiaceae
Source: RNAcentral
UUCACAAAAGCACAUUGAUUUCUCCUUGAAAAGUCCAUUUGGUGGUGGGUGUCCUAGAAGAGUGAAGAGAGAACCAGAGAGUAGCUAGCAAGAAGUUCUGGUGGAGAUGGAGAUGAAGAGGAUGGAGAAUGAGUUAUGAGUUCAAGAACAUGCUAGUAAAACGUGUUGCUAUUCAACAUUACUGCAUUGUUGUUUUGGUUUCUAAACUUUAAUAUUGGGUUUGUUUUGUGACUGGUUAAAUUAUGUAUCCAAAAAAUGAAAAAAAAAAAAGAUAGUAGAUUUGAUGCUCAUGGAGUCAACAUCAGGAGGGACUUGAGCACCCAAACCUGUGUAGUGGAGAACCAAGUCUAGUAGCAGUAUGAACAGAAGCAUCGUUAGCAUUGCAAGGCCAAGUAGAUGUAUCAUUUCAAGCUCUGCUGAGCAAGUAUGAGUCGCCGAAGAGAUGAUUGGACUGCGUUUUCACAGUACUUAAAAAACCACAAGCCACCAUUAACGUUGGAUCAAAACAGACCAAAACUGCCAGAAACAAGGCACCAGAGACUGGUUCAGAAAGGUAUCUGGGCUUUAGAGCCUGAGAGAGAGGAGAGAGAUUAAGAGAUUAAAUAUUUAUUUAUUAAUUUUAUUUUAAAUGGGCUUCACAUUUUUAAUUAAAAAUUAUUUUUAUUAUAACUAUGGGCCCUACUACUUUCUUUUCUUCCUUCUUCGAACCUGGAAAACAAAUGAUGCUCAAGUUGAAAUUUCAUUUCUAGGAAAAUCAUAUCAAGUACUAGCGCUCUCUAUAUAUACUAACUUGGUACAACUACGCAACUAACUAAUUCAUUAUUGAUGGGGAAUGGGAGAGGAGUAUAAAAUAGUCACUUUUGGAAAUUAUAUUUAAGCUCAUUCCAAUAUUAAAAAGAAAAAGUAAAUAUUGUGUCCUCAAAGCAGUCCAAAAUGAUUAAGAUACAUACUCUAAAAUUAGCAAUAUUUGGCUAGGAAACACAUCAAGAUGAUAUCGGAAAAACAUCAAAUAGAAAUAAUACCUCACAUUGAGAUUGUUGUAUCUCCUCAUGUAAAUCCCUAGCUCCAUGCAACAAACCAGCAAGUUCAUUUGCAGAUCCCCUUUUCUUAGUGAAAAUAAUUGUUUGGCCUUCAUUGAAUAAAAAAUUAUCUCACAAAGAUAAAUGUAAAAAAUUUUUCAACUAGACCAAAAGAUUAUUAAAAUAUCAUAAACAAAUAAAGAGCCCAAUUGAUUUGCUAUAACAAUGAAUGAUAUCAAGAACAGGGAUUGCUAAAGUAAAACUGUUUCAACACCAUCUCUUAUUGCUUGUACAUCCUCAGAUUUAUUAUAUAAAAUUAAUAUUUAAUCAUUCUUGUUAUGGAUACCCUCAACCAAGUUCAAGAUCAAGAAAGAAUACCUCUCCCAAAAGAAGCAAAUCAACAGGAAGCCCAUAGUUUUUUUAUGAGUACGAUGAAAGCGAUCUCGCUUUUACCAGGUUACAAGCUUUAACACAUUCCAAGUCAACUAUUUCAUUAUAAUGAGCAACUAUAUCACUGUUGAUGUUGUAAUGAAUUGUGACUUUAUUUUACAAUUGAAAUGUCAUCAAAUGCAUUCAAGUUCUUUUGAAUCUAAUUUAAAGCAUCAAAUAUCAUGGUUUUGUUGUUUGUAAGCUAUUGAACUUCAAAGCUGAUGGUGCAAAUACAAUUGUUGAUACAGUUCUGUCAAGAAAAAAGAAAGAAUACCACUCUUGCUUUGUCAUUGCAUGAUAAGGACCUAAAGUAAAAGGUUCACAUAUCUGAUCAUAAUGGAGUAAACCUUUUUCAUUCAAUAGAGAAUACAAAGCUAUGUAAGCAUGGCAUUCAAAGAGAACAAAUAUGUUCUACUCUAUUUUUAUCAUAAAAAAACAGGGGAUUUUAUUGUAUCAUUCAAUAACAAAUUUCAUGCAGGCAAGUCAAUCAAUCAAACAAAGAUGCUAUACUUAAGUCAUUGUAGAUUAUCGUUAGAUUAAUAAAGAUAAUGAUUGCUCCAUAGUCUAUAUUUUGACUGGUUAUAAGGAAACCUAAGAAAAGGCUUGCCUAUUUCACCCUUCACACUAUUACCAUACUUUUAUAGAUAGAAGAAAACUAUUUCUAGUGCUGCUUUAGAUCGAUGUGGUCCUUAACAGGGUUCAAGUGUGAUUGUGAGUUUUGGUUUUGCAUGGUUGUUUAUGUUUUUUUAUGGUGUCAGAGUUUCUAGGCAUGAGUUUGUAUAUUUUGUUUUUUCUUUUUCUCAAUUUUUAUUCAUUUAUAAAUCAUGUUAAUUUAUUAAAUAUUAUUUUUUUAAUCCAUGUCAACAUGCAACUAAUAGAGAAAGACGGAAAGUCGUUCUUUGCUAAUGGAGCGAAACCUUAAGGUACCACUUUAUCACAAAAAUGAAUCACAGACCCUGAAGUGAAAAUGAGUAGAAUUACAUGGUACCUUUUAUUAAUUUCCCUAAAGGAAAAUAAACCUAUUUUGCCUUGUUUGGGAAGGGAAGGAGUGAAAAGAAAAUAAUUGAAAUUAUCAUUUUACCCUUAUUUUAUAAAUUGUAUUUUUACUAUAUGACUACAAAUCCAUAAAUAAUAAUUGUAUCAAAAUUGUUU